GAAUCUUCAAGCUGUUCGGUCAAAGUUCUCCAAAACCGAAGACCAGGAUCGUGGUCUCUCCUCACCGCCGCUGCCCCUUGCUUGCUUCUCCUUCUGCUUCGGUCAACAAACGAACCAGCGAAGUUGUUGAUUUACCGCUUGAAGCCCACGCCUCGUCCGCCAGCGAAGACCCCUGCAGCAGCUCCACCGAAACUCUCUUUCUUCCGCUUCGUUGAAGGUUGAUCGUCCACGAAGCUGCUCCAAGCAUCCACGCGGCCAGCGCACGCCAGCAACGGCUCCACUUGCUUCGGUCAACAACGAGCCCACCGAGGUUUCUACUUUGACCGAGUGGCCGUGCCUUGCUGCCACUUGGCCGCGCCUGCCCCCAGCAUCAGCAACAUCCGUGUCGCCCUCGUUUCCCUAAGCUCGACACCCGCAAGUCACGAAUCCAGCUUUAACCGAGCAGCUGCCAACACCACCGAUCAAGGCAAGCAGUCCAACGAAGCUUAGUCCAGCGAAGAAACUUCUCGGCACAGAAAUCUUUGAGAUGUCCAGUAGCCCAAGUCGUUAGCCAUCUUAGCUCAAGUGGGCCUAGAAAAUCCGUGAAGGUCAGUCAAGCAACCCAUAAAUUGAAGCCCAUGAAGUUGCAGCUCAAUUGAAGCCCAAGUGAAUUUCGCAAGCCCAAUUCAGCAAGGCCAGUUUUCAGCAAUUGUAGUCUUCAAGCCCAGUUUUUGAAGCCCAAUCGCAGCUAGACCCAAGUCCAAGAGCAAGCCCAUUCUAGUGCAAGGACAAAUCUCAUUUGGGCUGAGAUUUGUUGGGCCUAAGCUUAAGGCCCGGUCCAAGUCCGCCGGUGUCGUCGAAAGUCCGAUUUCGGCAGCCGUCGCGUCGCCAUCGCGGUGUUUCGGUCUCCGCUGUUACCAAGUGAGUUUUACUCACUAAUGC
This 921-nucleotide long non-coding RNA is filed under the name Eucalyptus grandis. RNAcentral describes it as "long non-coding RNA (EGRA_LNC007781)". Lineage: Eukaryota; Viridiplantae; Streptophyta; Magnoliopsida; Myrtales; Myrtaceae. The record is from RNAcentral.